AAAUGUAAAUAUGAAUGGAAAUAUACUUUAUAGAUUUUUUUAUACGUAAGAAUUUCUAGGGGUGCUAAUUAUCAUGGCCAAUGAAUGAAUGGAAGCUCAAAAGGAUAAACAAUGCAGAUUUAUUUUCACAGACUUCUUUGCUCAUAUUUACCAAGGGGGCUAAUAAUUCUGUAUCAUUUGUGUACUAUUAUGCAUGUUUGAGAAACUAAUAUGCACCCUUAAAGGGUAAAUAAGGUACAAAGUGUACAUUUUAAAAAGGUGAUCGCUUAACCACAAUGCAACACAUAUGUUCCUAUACAUCUGUAUUUCCCUUUUUUGCUUUGAUGCAAACAAAAAGUGCACAAAACCAGUUUAUUUUAAUUAGUUGAAUUAUGCAAAUGCAGUAAACAGGGCUUUACAAAAGUGCACAAGUUCCUUAUGUGCCUGUUUUGGGUAACUAACUGCUGCAUCCUGUGGUGGUCAUAGAAGUGGAAGUUAUGUGGUUUCAAACUGAGCACUGAAUGUCCUGAGGAAGGAACACAUUUGACUAGACCGUAUCUUCUCUAAAGAUGUGCUGCGCAUCAAUUCAUCUCCUCAUUGGUGCCUUACUCAUCCUUGCUGUUGAAAAUGAGGCCACAACCAUGAUAUCCAGCAUAGAAAAUACCACUGCUCCAGUUUCAGUGUUUAGUGACAACACCACCCUAUUCAAAGAAAAGGACAUUCUAGACAACUUUACCUCUCCAAGCUUCAAUGCCACCCUGCAAAACACGACGGUUGUGGAUAUAUCAGAUGGAGAAUCAGAAUCAUCUACUCCACCGCCCUCAGAACAUCCGCAGACCAACAAUUACACCACAGACGAUUCUCUGAAGACCGUUUCACAAUCAAGCACAAAUAAUAUGAUCAAAAGCACAACUAAUAGCAAAACAACCACAAUUCAAGCAACGCAGCCUGUCAAAAACCAUGGACCAACUUAUAUAGUUAUCUUUAUUAUUGCUGCUCUGUGCCUCUUGGGGGUGGUAGUUUAUUGUUGCCAUAAAACUAAAUCCAGGAAGUACUCAGUGGACUUGCAUCCCAAACAAGAAGAUGUUCAGAUCCCACUCAGCACAGUGGAUGUAGAGGUGUUUGACACCACAUCAGUCAAAGAUAUGCAAACAUUCAGUCCUGUUGAGUCCACCGAGCCGCUUAAGGACCCUGCGCCUGCUGAGAAGCCUGAGGGAGGGAAAGAAUCAGCUGAUCUUAAACAAGAAAACCAACCGAAUUUAUCCAGCACUCAGGCCACAGAGGACACAAAGGAUAAAAUGGAGGGGCUGACCGUAGUAGAUCUGACUGAUGGAGAUCUGACGAUCUCCACCAAAACCUCAAUGGAAUCCCUAGAUGAUGUUCUCAAUGAAAACAACAGCAACAAUACAAGACUUGAAGUCAAGGGCAAUGGGCAUGAUUUCACUGAAAUCUCUAUUGAUGCUUUGCUUUACUUCUAAAAUAAAUCAGGUUCUUCCCAACAUUUUACAAUGCUGAUGAGAGACCUUCAUCAGCAUUUCAAUACAUGAUGGCCCACGGUCUGGACAAUGGAAUGCUCCAUGGAUCUUAUAUUACAGCAGUCAUUCCACACGUAUAUAGUUUAACAUUAACAGUAACAUUUUCAGCAAAUAUAAAAAUAAAUAAAUAGGCUACAUACUACGACAUUUUGAAAAAGGUCUACCUUUUGUAAUACAAUAUUUAAUAAAAAUGUAAAUAUUUGUGCAAAAAGACCAUUUUCCAUAGUGGUCUCAGACUUUUUUAGACCCACAUGUAUAGGUUUUUAUUACAGAUAUUACAGCUCAGCUUACAUAUUGGUCACACUUUAUUUUAAGGUCCAAUUCUCACUAUUAACAAACCAUUAACAAUGACUUUUGACUCAAUAAACUCUUAAUUUGCUGCUUAUUAAUAGUUAGUUGUAUGUAUGUUGUUAAAGGGGUGGUUUACUGUUUUUUUUUUUCUAGGCUUGAUUGUGUUUAUGGGGUGCAGUCUAACAUGUGUUCAUGCUUCGUUUUUUUAAAAACGCAUUAUUUUUCAUAUAAUUUACCUUUAUUCCACACCACUCUGUCCCUUCUCUGACAAACGCCUCGAUUAUUUCCUGCUUUUAUGAAGCCCCUCCCUCAGAAAUACGUGAUGGGCUCUGAUUGGUUAGCUGGCUCAGUGUGUUGUGAUUCACUAAACCGCCGAGCGUGCGUCUAAACGUCCCGCCCCUCAGCUCAGCGGCAUGUGCUCCGGUUGUAUUGUAAACAAUGUCGUCGUCUAUAUUUCUUAUCAAUUUGAGCCUGAUUGAGAGGCAGAGGAUAUUAGUGAAGAGUAUCUAGCAAAACCUGUGCAAGCAUGGCUCUUAAUGGUAUGUUUGUUGUCUCAUACUUUUAGAUACACUGUUAUUAUGCUACUGCUUAUGUUAGCUUUUAAUAUACGGUUUUAUUCUGAUUAAAGCUUUAAUACAGUACGGCAACCGCACACGCGUCCAUGUAUAACGCUUCUCAUUGCUUUUACAUGUGAAAAUGUAUAAUUGGAAUAAGUUGUUGGAGCUGAUCUGACGAUCUGAAUGAGAGAGAGAGAGAGAGAGAUGCAGAGCAGGGCGACGCGAGGAACAGUAUUAAGAACGGCUGUUUUAGAACAUUAAUUUUGAAACUUGUGAAUCCAUUAGAAUCGUUAGAAGACAGAAUCACGAUUCAUAUAUGAAUAGAUUUUUACGUGCACCCCUAAUUUUCUCUUCCUCUUCUCUAAAGCAGCACAGCAUGGCCUCGCCCCCUUCCUUACAUGUUCCCGAGGGCGGGGUUUAUCUGGGUCAGUGACGUAUCAGACCCGGGAAGUAGUUCGUUGUAGUCCCUUACCAGUCGUUUUUGUAGGCAUUAAACUUCCAGAAUUUUAAAAGACGAUAUCUCUGUUUGCAUUGAACUUUCAGCGCUGCAACUUUUCAGAUAUUGUUUAUGCUCAAACAGCAACAUUACACACUAACUAAAAAAGUGAAAUUGCAAUCAACCACCCCUUUAAAUUUAGGUAUUGGGUAGGAUUAGGGAUGUAGAUUAUGGUGAAUAUGUGCUUUAUAAGUAUUAAUAAACAACUAAUAUGGUACUAAUAGGCAUGCUAAUAAACAACUAGUUAAUAGUGAGAAUUGGUCCCUACAAUAAAGUGUUACCAAAAUACCUAUACUUACUAAUACUAUACACAGACAAACUAUAAUUAGCAGAAAAUAAGGAAAAGUCCACUCAUUCUAAAACCAGAGACAGUUAAAGAAUCAAAGGGAGGAAACGGAGAGAAAACCUCUCAUUCAUUCCAGCUGGUUUGGAACUGAUGGACGGGUUGGAGACAUGAACUUGAAAGAGGUCAUGUUCUCCCACCCCCAUAGAUAACAACUAAUGACCAUGACUGCUCAUAAAGCAGUAUAAUUAGCCAGAGCCCCAGGGACUAUUAUAUAGGGUAUUAUUUUCCAAUAAGGGUUUGCUUUCAUGUGCUCUCCAGUCAUUGUCAGGGGCUCCGUUUCCAGGUUUUGGAGUUGAUAGGGCUCUCAUAAAUACUUCAGUUGUACCUAUAUACAUUAACUUUAAGGUGCUUAGUCUACUCAACAGAGAGAGGAAAAAAAAAAACUAGACAGUAGUAUUUUAUCAGACAAACAGCAGUUGGUCUCUAUACAUGGAUUUCCAAGUUUAUAGACAGGACACAUAGUCUACAGAAGUUUAGUAAUGGCACUUACAUUGUUGGCCAAUGGUGCUCUGUCUGCUCUAACAGCACUAUUGCAGUACCUUCAGUUUUAAUUGCUAAAGACUGAAAUGACAAAUGGUUAGUAUCUGUCCAUGACAUUAAUGAAUUCCAUAUUAAAAAAACAAAGAAAAACAUCUGAAACCUUAAAUCUUUAAACGUUUUUUAGGAGUGGCCCGUCUAAUGACAAAGAAGCCAAGUCAAUGCUAGAUUUACAAGAAGAAUCUGACACUCGCCCAGGCCUGAACAGUAUUACACACUGUGCUUUGGUGUGGAACUAAUGUGUGUUUGCACAUGAACACAUGCAGUUGUUGACUAGCGUUUUGAUGUGGUUAUUGUCUCACCUGGCCAGGUGUAACUUCGGAUGAGUGGGAAAGAGAGAAACUCAGAGCUGUUCCAGGUGGUGCCUUCUGGUUUAAGUUGAAACCUGCAAGCUUCAAUGUAAGCUUUUCCUACACUCUUAAAAAUAAAGGUGCUUCACGAUGCCGUAUAAGAACCUUUUUGUCUAAAUGGUCCCAUAAAGAACCUUUAACAUCUGAAGAACCUUUCUGUUUCACAAAAGAGAUCACAAAAAAAAACUUUUGACUGAAUGGUGUAGAACCAAAAUGGUUCUUCUAUGGCAUCGCUGUGAAGAACCUUUUAAGCACCUUUAUUUUUAAGAGUGUAGUAGCAAAGUUGUGUGUAACUUUACUUAGCAAUUACAACAUAAACAUUUCACCAUAUCAGAAAGAAUCGAUGAGGUAACUGUGUUAGGCGGAAGAAGCAUACUACAGUAGGUCACUGGUAAAGUUUAGGUCUCUUUGAUGGUGGUAACUGUUAGUUAUUUAUGUUUCCAUGGUUCCAUUGAUACAUUAUGGUUUUAUUUAUAGGAUUAACCAUAUGUUGACUCAAUGGGAUGUUAGUGUUUGUAUGUACACAAACACUGAUGACUGUAUUUGGUAGCAAGAGAAAAAGCCAUAUUUGGGCAGUGUUGCAAAGUGAAUGUUGCAAACAAUGUUCUUAAAGACUUCCUCUUCACACUUCAAACAGUUUAUCCACCCUAUUUACUCACCCUUGUGUCAAUUUUCUGUUUUCUGCAGAAGACAAAAGAAGACAUUUGAAGAAUGUUUUUAUCCAUACAAUAAAAGUCAAUUGGGUCCAACAGGUUCAAGCUCUCAAAAUGGAAUUAAAACGUUUUGUACAAGUAAUCCAAACAAUUCCACUGGUUUAAUCAAAGUCUUCUUCAUCUUCAGUUCUAUUACCAAUAUUAUUCUUUGUUUGACGAAUAGAGUGAAAUGCAAAUAGUUAUUCACUUUCAAAUCAAACCAUUUAUUAAGCCUAAAUCAAAAUGGUGAUUGGUUCUUGUGCCAUGAUGUCAAGUCAUAUGAUACACAAGAACCAAUGAGGUUUAAUGUUACUUUUCAAAGAUCUUCUUUUGUGUCCUUCAGAAGAAAUGAACUUUACAUGAGGGUGAGUAAAAGAUAACAGACGUCAUUUUCGGGUGACCUAUUAUUUUAAAGGUGUGCAAAACCUGUUUCUGUAGAAACUGCUGCAUCUUGCUAUAAAAGACUCUCAAUGACAGGUGUCAUCAACAUUAAAGUGCUGAACGUUCAAGGCUAUUAAGCAAUAAGACUUAGAGAAUUUGGGUUUAGGUUGUUGGGAGUGUGUGUUCAUAUAUUUAGCUACUUUAUCCCUUCUCAUAUUUCUAAAGCUUCUCCGAUUCACUCUCAGUGAGAAGUCAUGAAAGGAUUUUUUAUGUAGAGACCACACCCAUGUAGGUCUAUCCCACCACAGUGACCCAGCAAGCCUAUGUUUGAUUCACGUGGGGAGCAUCCACCAAUGUCCCUAUAGAUCUCCCUGUAAAUCCUCACACCUUCCUUGAUUGCAGCUAUUUUUACAGAACGGGAUAAAAGAAAUGUAAUAGGCCCCUGAGUCGAGCCAAUGACUAUUCUUCCACAGUUGUGAGGCAGAAAACUUUAAGCUCGUUCUCGCCCACCUGUUCACCUGUUUUUUUUUUAAUCAAUUACAUUGACAUAGUUUUUCUCUUUUUCAUUUAACUGAUGGCUGUUUGCAAACCUAAUAAAACUGAAAGCAAAAAAAGAAAAAAGAAUAAUGUUUUCCCUUACUGCGUUGUUGUCAUACAGUGGCUGUCAGACUCAAAGUUCAUCUAUAUUUUGUCCUUCUCCAGCUGUCCUUUCGCUUAGGCUUUUUUUAUCCAUCCUGUGCUACUCAUACUUCUAAUGAUGGCCGCUUUCAGUGAGGAUACAUUUGCUUGGGUGAAUUUACAAGCAGUGAAGUCAUUUAAGUGGGGUGAUAAUUAGUUCAUGGCAAACAUUCAUGGAUAUUUCAAACUUCCUGUGAGUUUCUUGGAACUUCUGUGUGUAACUUUAUACAUUUCCUUUCAUUCUUGGAUUUCAUUUUUUGUUUAAUACAGUAGUAGUUUAUGUUGCUACAACUAGUUUUGUGAAAAUAAAUAAAUACAUAAAUAAAACCUGAAACUAACAGGUGAACAAUUAUACUGAUAUUUGUUUGUUGGUUUUUCUAAUGUAUAUUUACAAAGAAAAGAAGCCAGUUUCCUUUCUGGAAGUCUAGACUACCUCAUUGUGUGUUCACACUGGUGAAAAUGCUGUUUGGUUACGGUUUACAAGAUGUCUGAACCUGACUGAUGGAUUUUUUAAACUGGAAGUAACAGCUGAACCAAAUUGUAAACUAUGUGAGUCAUUGUUAGAACACCAUUGUUUGAAUAUACUUACAGCACUUAAUUUCUAGCGAUUAUCGUCGAUUUGAUUGCACAGAUACUAUUUAAACUAAACUGAGCUAGACAAUGACAUCUCUGAAUUCAAUAAUGAAAUGCCUUUAACUGAAAAUUGAGUGUUUAAUCUUAUCAUUAUACAUUACUAACACUCUAUCCUCCAAUUUGAUACUGUUAAGUGCUUUGACACAAUCUGUAUUGUUAAAAGCGCUAUAUAAAUAAAGGUGACUUGACUUGACUAAGAAGAGUCUGUAAAAACAGGGCCCAGUGUAUUGUGUUAAUGUAAAGGAAUUUUCUGUAUACAUUUUCACUAGUGUUUUACUCAUAUUUUAAAAUGCAUUGUGUUGUUUUAGGGUUAAAGGAAAUAUACGUAAACUUAAUGAGUACAACUUCAUGGAGAAACUUGAUGGAGUUUCUGUUUUUCUGCAUAUUUUUGUUCCCAUGGUGUAUUACCUUUACAGUUAGCAUAAUAUUACCUGGUAUGUUAGAUUUUAAAAUUGUAACUAUUUUAAACCUAAUUUAUGACAAUCUAAUCUAAUCUUAAAAGGAUAAUUUUGUAAAUGUUCAACCAGCUUUGUAUUGUUGUCGCCUGUAUAUAAAUGUGUACUUUUUCCAUGUUCUUGCACCCAGAUAUCUCAGUUCAUUUUCCAAGCAAAAGGAUGCUUGGAAAAUAACCAGAUUAUGCAAAACAUGUCACUUUUGACAGGUCCAGGCUUUUUAAUAAAACUACAGAUUGA
RNA transcript from Onychostoma macrolepis, 7167 nucleotides. RefSeq lists it as uncharacterized. The transcript has 11 exons. NCBI's taxonomy places the organism in Eukaryota, Metazoa, Chordata, Actinopteri, Cypriniformes, Cyprinidae. The record is from RefSeq and is a predicted model, not a curated record.